RNAcentral lists this ribosomal RNA (350 nucleotides) under uncultured bacterium. Its description in RNAcentral is "bacterial SSU rRNA". It matches the Rfam family "Bacterial small subunit ribosomal RNA", at positions 8 to 349 of the family's 1533-position model. The record is from RNAcentral.
AGAGUUUGAUCCUGGCUCAGGAUGAACGCUAGCUACAGGCUUAACACAUGCAAGUCGAGGGGAAACGACAUCGAAAGCUUGCUUUUGAUGGGCGUCGACCGGCGCACGGGUGAGUAACGCGUAUCCAACCUGCCCACCACUUGGGGAUAACCUUGCGAAAGUAAAACUAAUACCCAAUGACGUCUCUAGAAGACAUCUGAAAGAGAUUAAAGAUUUAUCGGUGAUGGAUGGGGAUGCGUCUGAUUAGCUUGUUGGCGGGGUAACGGCCGCAAGACUACGAUCAGUAGGGGUUCUGAGAGGAAGGUCCCCCACAUUGGAACUGAGACACGGUCCAAACUCCUACGGGAGCA